This 277-nucleotide unclassified non-coding RNA is filed under the name uncultured fungus. RNAcentral describes it as "sequence contains ITS1". The stretch from base 1 to 98 matches the Rfam family "5.8S ribosomal RNA", at positions 49 to 154 of the family's 154-position model. Lineage: Eukaryota; Fungi. The record is from RNAcentral.
UAAAGUGCGAUAUGUAGUGCGAUUUGCAUGAAUCUGUGAGUCAUCUAAUCUUUGAACGCAACUUGCGCCUCUUACGAGGCAUGUCUGUUUGAGUGCCGUAAUCUUCUGCAGCAAUGCGAUUUGAUUUGCGUCUUUGUUGACCGAGUUUAAAGAAAGCUAGAGGAUGGUCAGUUUAGACUAGCCCGAGUGCUAAGCAUUCUUGGGUCUAGGAUGGAUUGCUCAUUACAUCUAUUUUUAAUUUGGCCUCAAAUCAGGCAAGACUACCCGCUGAACUUAA